GUAUUUAUUAUAUAAUUAGAUAUUUCAGACAAAAAACAUUUAGACAUGUUUAAACGUAAUAAAAUUGGCAGGCCGAGUAGACCAAUCUGUCUCAACCCACAGCUCUCCAAAAGAAAAGCUUAACCUGCCAACAAACACUUCAAUGAUUCACACAAGGUGGAUAUGGAUAAAUUAUCCAAUAUUGUGGACAAUUGUUAAUGAUCCUUCCGCAGGUUCACCUACGGAAA
This 227-nucleotide unclassified non-coding RNA is filed under the name uncultured fungus. RNAcentral describes it as "sequence contains ITS1". Lineage: Eukaryota; Fungi. The record is from RNAcentral.